This 292-nucleotide unclassified non-coding RNA is filed under the name uncultured Inocybe. RNAcentral describes it as "sequence contains ITS2". The stretch from base 1 to 52 matches the Rfam family "5.8S ribosomal RNA", at positions 103 to 154 of the family's 154-position model. The record is from RNAcentral. Lineage: Eukaryota; Fungi; Basidiomycota; Agaricomycetes; Agaricales; Cortinariaceae.
AACGCAUCUUGCGCUCCUUGGUAUUCCGAGGAGCAUGCCUGUUUGAGUGUCAUUUAACUUCUCAACCACAUCAUUUGAUGUAUGUGGCUUGGACUUGGGGGUUGUUUGCAGGCUUUCACAAAGGUCGGCUCCCCUGAAAUGUAUUAGUGGUAUCUGAGCUCUAUUACCUUUGGUGUGAUAAUUAUCUAUGCCUUUGGUAUACUGCAUGAACAGAUUGUGCUGCUUUAAGAUGAAUUAUUUUUUUCUUGAUGAAUUUGACCUCAAAUCAGGUAGGACUACCCGCUGAACUUAA